This 1452-nucleotide ribosomal RNA is filed under the name metagenome. RNAcentral describes it as "bacterial LSU rRNA". It matches the Rfam family "Bacterial large subunit ribosomal RNA", at positions 1458 to 2925 of the family's 2925-position model. The record is from RNAcentral.
UGAGUGAAGUGGGGACACAGAAGGAUAGACAGAGCACGCCGUUGGUAGAGCGUGUCCAAGCAGUGAGGCUUGUGCGUAGGCAAAUCCGCGCACUAAAAGGCUAGGCUGUGAUGGGGAGGAAAAAAAGUACCGGAAGCUGUUGAUUUCACACUGUCAAGAAAAGCCGCUAGCGAGACCGUAGGUGCCCGUACCGCAAACCGACACAGGUAGAUGAGGAGAGAAUCCUAAGGUGAGCGAGAGAACUAUUGUUAAGGAACUCGGCAAAAUUACCCCGUAACUUCGGGAGAAGGGGUGCCAUCGAAAGAUGGCCGCAGUGAAAAGGCCCAGGCGACUGUUUAGCAAAAACACAGGUCUCUGCUAAAGCGAAAGCUGAAGUAUAGGGGCUGACGCCUGCCCGGUGCUGGAAGGUUAAGGGGACUGCUUAGAGCAAUCGAAGGCAUGAACUUAAGCCCCAGUAAACGGCGGCCGUAACAAUAACGGUCCUAAGGUAGCGAAAUUCCUUGUCAGGUAAGUUCUGACCCGCACGAAAGGCGUAACGAUCUGGGCGCUGUCUCAACAAUAGACUCGGUGAAAUUGUAGUACCGGUAAAGAUGCCGGUUACCCGCAGCAGGACGGAAAGACCCCGUGGAGCUUUACUGCAGCUUGAUAUUGGAUUUCGGCAUUGCAUGUACAGGAUAGGUGGGAGACUUUGAACUCAGUACGCCAGUAUUGAGGGAGUCACCGUUGGGAUACCACCCUUGUAAUGUUGAGGUUCUAACUUUGUACCGUGACCCGGUAUGAGGACAGUGUCUGGCGGGCAGUUUGACUGGGGCGGUCGCCUCCUAAAGAGUAACGGAGGCGCCCAAAGGUUCCCUCAGUGCGGACGGAAAUCGCACGAAGAGUGUAAAGGCAGAAGGGAGCUUGACUGCGAGACAAACAGGUCGAGCAGGGACGAAAGUCGGGCUUAGUGAUCCGGUGGUACCGAGUGGAAGGGCCAUCGCUCAACGGAUAAAAGCUACCCCGGGGAUAACAGGCUGAUACCCCCCAAGAGUCCACAUCGACGGGGGUGUUUGGCACCUCGAUGUCGGCUCGUCUCAUCCUGGGGCUGAAGUAGGUCCCAAGGGUUGGGCUGUUCGCCCAUUAAAGAGGUACGCGAGCUGGGUUCAGAACGUCGUGAGACAGUUCGGUCCCUAUCCGCUGUGGGCGUUGGAGAUUUGAGUGGAGCUGUUCUUAGUACGAGAGGACCGGGAUGGACAUACCUCUGGUGCACCAGUUGUUCUGCCAAGGGCAUAGCUGGGUAGCCACGUAUGGAAGGGAUAAGUGCUGAAAGCAUCUAAGUACGAAGCCCCCCACAAGACAAGAUCUCCUCCUUAAAGGUAAGACCCGUGAGAGACUAUCACGUUGAUAGGUCGGAGGUGGAAGUGCAGUAAUGCAUGGAGCUGACCGAUACUAAUAGGUCGAAAACUUGACUAA